This 715-nucleotide long non-coding RNA is filed under the name Bos indicus x Bos taurus (hybrid cattle). Its description in RNAcentral is "partial ncRNA". Lineage: Eukaryota; Metazoa; Chordata; Mammalia; Artiodactyla; Bovidae. The record is from RNAcentral.
UCAGCUGGUGGGGGGGAAAGGUGCUGAGGCCUCUCGCGAAGACUUGAAGGUACCGCGGCGGCCAGGAGGACAGAACCGGAAGUCCUUAGUCGUGAGCGUCCAAUGCUGGAAGCGGCCUGACUUUCUUUGCCGGAAACUCUUUUCCAGGGGAUGGGAAGACGGCCCACCUGGCCGGAAGUCCCGCCCCUUUGAGCUCCACCCUUCCAGAAGUUUUUCUGUCACCUGUGCUGGUCUCCGUUCCCUUUCCCAGUUUUAUUACUAUACCAGAAAAGGAUUAUUUUUAGUCUCUCCCUCCCAGCUCCAAUAGACUAGUUGGGUACCUCACUCCCCGAGUCGGAGGUCCUUCCCCGAGCCCCCAUGUAGCUGGGAAGUGGGACCUGGGGGUGGUUGGACCCCUGGGAUCCUGAAGGAGGGCCAGAGAGGGCGCAGAACUCCGGUUCUGUUCCUGUUACCCGGACUCGGCCCCCUCCGCCUCUCCUCCCGCUGCCAUGCACCCUGCGGCCUUCCCGCUUCCUGUGGUUGUGGUCACUGUGCUGUGGGGAGCGGCCCCCAGCCGGGGGCUCAUUCGAGCGAUCUCGGACCACAAUGCCAGCAUGGACUUUGCAGACCUCCCAGCUCUCUUUGGGGCUGCUUUGAGCCAGGAGGGACUUCAGGGCUUCCUUGUGGAGGCUCACCCAGACAAUGCCUGCAGCCCCAUUGCCCCACCACCACCCCC